Molecule: ribosomal RNA, 450 nt
Filed under: uncultured bacterium
Lineage: Bacteria
Description: partial 16S ribosomal RNA
Rfam family: Bacterial small subunit ribosomal RNA
Source: RNAcentral
GUAGGGAAUAUUGGACAAUGGGCGCAAGCCUGAUCCAGCCAUGCCGCGUGUGUGAAGAAGGCCUUCGGGUUGUAAAGCACUUUUGUCCGGGAAGAAAUCUUCCAGGUUAAUACCCUGGGAGGCUGACGGUACCGGAAGAAUAAGCACCGGCUAACUUCGUGCCAGCAGCCGCGGUAAUACGAAGGGUGCAAGCGUUACUCGGAAUUACUGGGCGUAAAGCGUGCGUAGGUGGUUCGUUAAGUCUGCCGUGAAAGCCCCGGGCUCAACCUGGGAAUGGCGGUGGAUACUGGCGGGCUAGAGUGCGGUAGAGGGUGGUGGAAUUCCCGGUGUAGCAGUGAAAUGCGUAGAGAUCGGGAGGAACAUCUGUGGCGAAGGCGGCCACCUGGACCAGCACUGACACUGAGGCACGAAAGCGUGGGGAGCAAACAGGAUUAGAAACCCGAGUAGUCC